Molecule: ribosomal RNA, 468 nt
Filed under: uncultured bacterium
Lineage: Bacteria
Description: partial 16S ribosomal RNA
Rfam family: Bacterial small subunit ribosomal RNA
Source: RNAcentral
GACGAACGCUGGCGGCGUGCUUAACACAUGCAAGUCGAACGGAAAGGCCCUGCUUUUGUGGGGUGCUCGAGUGGCGAACGGGUGAGUAACACGUGAGUAACCUGCCCUUGACUUUGGGAUAACUUCAGGAAACUGUGGCUAAUACCGGAUAGGAGCUCCUGCUGCAUGGUGGGGGUUUGAAAGUUUCGGCGGUUGGGGAUGGACUCGCGGCUUAUCAGCUUGUUGGUGGGGUAGUGGCUUACCAAGGCUUUGACGGGUAGCCGGCCUGAGAGGGUGACCGGCCACAUUGGGACUGAGAUACGGCCCAGACUCCUACGGGAGGCAGCAGUGGGGAAUAUUGCACAAUGGGCGGAAGCCUGAUGCAGCAACGCCGCGUGCGGGAUGACGGCCUUCGGGUUGUAAACCGCUUUCGCCUGUGACGAAGCGUGAGUGACGGUAAUGGGUAAAGAAGCACCGGCUAACUACGUG